ACGUAGGGUGCAAGCGUUGUCCGGAUUUACUGGGUGUAAAGGGCACGCAGGCGGUUUAUUAAGCCAGAGGUGAAAGACUGCAGCUCAACUGGUGAAUUGCGUUUGAAACUGAAAGACUUGAGUUUCGUAGAGGCAGGUGGAAUUCCUAGUGUAGCGGUGAAAUGCGUAGAUAUUAGGAGGAACACCGGUGGCGAAGGCGGCUUGCUGGACAAAUACUGACGCUGAGGUGCGAAAGCGUGGGGAGCAAACAG
RNAcentral lists this ribosomal RNA (251 nucleotides) under uncultured prokaryote. RNAcentral describes it as "partial 16S rRNA". It matches the Rfam family "Bacterial small subunit ribosomal RNA", at positions 525 to 775 of the family's 1533-position model. The record is from RNAcentral.